AGGGAACAAACCCCCACAGAGAAGAGUAUGGGGUUCUGAAGUCAAACCGCCUGGAUCCAGCCCCUGCUCUAGGCCUUGGAGUAGCGUUACCUUGGCUGUGUUUCCCAAUCAAGCCAAGACUCAGCGUCCUCGUCUAUGCUGACUAUCUAAGCAAAGCUGGAAAACAUACAUAAAACAGCCUUCGGGAAACACAUAUGCAUCAUCAGCCAACAAAUGUGCAUGGGAGGAGCCUUGCCCUUAGGCAGGCUGGUGUGUGGUGAGGCCCCUGUAGCACCAGCAGCUUUCACCAGCUCUGACUCUCCAUCUAGAGACUCAAAUGCCUGGACCUGCCUGACUUCUCUAGAAGGGUUCCCCCUGGGCAAAGCUCCUGAGGGCCUGGGCCUGGCCCUGGCUGUGUGGACCCCAUUAUUACCAUCAGAAAUUGUCUACUGAGCACUCACUGAAACAGGCUGAGUGGGGCAGCAGAGAAUGAGCUGGAGAAUCAGGGUGCAGAGAAGGGGGCCAUUCCUGUGACCUCUGUGGGUGGAAGAGGGAGCAUCUGGUCUCGUUUACGAGUUUAUUUGACAUUUGA
Molecule: long non-coding RNA, 571 nt
Organism: Zalophus californianus (California sea lion)
Lineage: Eukaryota; Metazoa; Chordata; Mammalia; Carnivora; Otariidae
Exons: 3
Source: RefSeq, a predicted model, not a curated record